CGUGCAGGCGGUGGUGCGCGUUUUGUGUGACAGCGCGAGGCUUCACCUCGUGAGGAUACGAAAGACGGCAGCACUUGAGAGCGCGAGAGGGACACGGAAUUCCGGGUGGAGUGGUGAAAUGCGUAGAGAUCCGGAGGAACACCGAAGGCGAAGGCAGUGUCCUGGCGCGCAUCUGACGCUGAGGCGCGAAAGCCAGGGGAGCGAACG
RNAcentral lists this ribosomal RNA (207 nucleotides) under uncultured bacterium. Its description in RNAcentral is "partial 16S ribosomal RNA". It matches the Rfam family "Bacterial small subunit ribosomal RNA", at positions 568 to 774 of the family's 1533-position model. The record is from RNAcentral.